RNAcentral lists this ribosomal RNA (148 nucleotides) under Burkholderiaceae bacterium. Its description in RNAcentral is "partial 16S ribosomal RNA". It matches the Rfam family "Bacterial small subunit ribosomal RNA", at positions 1 to 150 of the family's 1533-position model. The record is from RNAcentral. Lineage: Bacteria; Pseudomonadati; Pseudomonadota; Betaproteobacteria; Burkholderiales; Burkholderiaceae.
GAACUGAAGAGUUUGAUCCUGGCUCAGAUUGAACGCUGGCGGCAUGCCUUACACAUGCAAGUCGAACGGUAACGCGGGGCAACCUGGCGACGAGUGGCGAACGGGUGAGUAAUGCAUCGGAACGUGCCCAGUAGUGGGGGAUAGCCCG